Molecule: long non-coding RNA, 627 nt
Organism: Xiphophorus hellerii (green swordtail)
Lineage: Eukaryota; Metazoa; Chordata; Actinopteri; Cyprinodontiformes; Poeciliidae
Exons: 2
Source: RefSeq, a predicted model, not a curated record
AGUUACUUUUACGUUUGUCUUAUUUAAAUGUGCUAAAGUAUUUUCACUAGAAACUAGACCAAAAUUAUUUGGUAAGAUUUUGUGUUUUUGCAGUGUGCAGUGAAAACUUUUGAGCUUGGGGAGAUUCAUAAAAAGUUUUCUAAGACGAGUCUGGUAAAUCUGAGACGCCAGAACCAAAAAAAGAUGUGGAGAUGAAAGUAUGGAUUAUGCCAGGUUUACAUGGAACAACCCAGCCAAAGCACGUUCUCAGAAUCAAAUAAAAUCCAUCUGUUACAGCUCUGGGUUUUAAUGCGCCACCUGCAGCGAUCAGCCAACAUCAGAACGCUUUCAGAAGCAGCAUGGACCAUAAAACAUAACUCUCUUUCACCUUUUUCGCUUUGUAGACACUUCAUGGUUUUUGCUGAGGUCCUUAUCCAUCUCUGCCUAAUGGAGGAUUUGAGACACUCCAGUUAACUUUUAGACUCCAUAUUGUGCAAAGCUCUCAGUUGAAGUAAGGGAUUUUUAUAAUGUGAGCUUAUAAAGCAUUUCUAUUUUAUUUUUAUCCUCUGUGCUCUUUUAAAAGAAAUGACCUACCAUUUCAACUCUAAAAAUUUGCUGUCUUGUUUAGCAGUUUUUCUUCUACUAGAG